Molecule: long non-coding RNA, 227 nt
Filed under: Lathyrus oleraceus (garden pea)
Lineage: Eukaryota; Viridiplantae; Streptophyta; Magnoliopsida; Fabales; Fabaceae
Description: Pisum sativum (pea) long non-coding RNA (PSAT_LNC034442)
Source: RNAcentral
UCAAGAUAUAUCGAGAUAAGAGUUUUAAACGGAUGAUGAAUGCUCGGAUGGUCGAGCUAGACAACUCGUAUCCAAACAAUUAGGGAAAAUAAUAGUAGACACUAAAUCGUUCCUUUUUCACCCAAUUAAUUGUAAAAAAGAUUUAAUCGAGUUAUUAAGUUUUGAAUAAAUGACAAAUACUCAAAUGGUCGAGCUAUACGACUCAUAUCCAAAUAUUCCAGGAAAAG